Molecule: long non-coding RNA, 367 nt
Organism: Phyllostomus hastatus (greater spear-nosed bat)
Lineage: Eukaryota; Metazoa; Chordata; Mammalia; Chiroptera; Phyllostomidae
Exons: 3
Source: RefSeq, a predicted model, not a curated record
CGGCGAGGUCUGCUUAGUCUGGCCAGCCAAACCCAGCCACACCGACCAGCUGUGGCCGACUCAGCAUGGGGGCCGGCGCCUGUCGGAGCCACACAGCGGACACCUGCAGGUUCCUCAGGGAGAAGGGAACUUGCCUGGGCGCAUGCUUAGGCAGUGACGGAAUGCAGCAUCCCCUGCCUCGCCCCCAGCAGUCCUGAUGGCCUCGUAUUGACUGUCGCUCCUGAAGGCAGGGGCUGUGAUCAGAAUGCACCACAAUCAAGCCAAAGCCUGGUUGCGGUUAGGAAACGUGGGUUCAUAGUGCAAGGAAAGAUGGGAGCAGUGUCUAAGCGCCAAGACCCCACCCCAGGCUGCCGGCCCGGAUUCUGGC